UGGCGAGAUUGAAUAAGAGUUACCUUGACGGUUACAAUUGAAAUUGUAGCGGUUAAGGUAACCUUUGUUCAGUCUGGCCAAA
Molecule: microRNA precursor, 82 nt
Filed under: Sphaeroforma sirkka
Lineage: Eukaryota; Ichthyosporea; Ichthyophonida
Description: Ssi-Mir-Nov-3_pre
Source: RNAcentral